RNAcentral lists this ribosomal RNA (253 nucleotides) under uncultured bacterium. Its description in RNAcentral is "partial 16S ribosomal RNA". It matches the Rfam family "Bacterial small subunit ribosomal RNA", at positions 524 to 776 of the family's 1533-position model. The record is from RNAcentral.
UACAGAGGUCCCAAGCGUUGUUCGGAAUUACUGGGCGUAAAGGGCGCGUAGGCGGCCUUCUAAGUCGAACGUGAAAUCCCCGGGCUCAACCCGGGAACUGCGUCCGAUACUGGAAGGCUUGAAUCCGGGAGAGGGAUGCGGAAUUCCAGGUGUAGCGGUGAAAUGCGUAGAUAUCUGGAGGAACACCGGUGGCGAAGGCGGCAUCCUGGACCGGCAUUGACGCUGAGGCGCGAAAGCCAGGGGAGCAAACGGG